Molecule: long non-coding RNA, 3159 nt
Filed under: Mytilus galloprovincialis (Mediterranean mussel)
Lineage: Eukaryota; Metazoa; Mollusca; Bivalvia; Mytilida; Mytilidae
Source: RNAcentral
GUGCUUGCAUUUCCUAUCAUGAUUUUCUUGAUAGAGGGUUGCUGCUCACAAGGAAGCUAUUAAACCAAGAGUUCCGAAUGGUGAAGUUGAAAUCAUCCUUUCGUAAAUGUUACAGAUGUCAUCAAGAGUUGGUUGACCGUUAUGAAAUAACCGUUUCACAAAUGAUAUCGUAACUACAAUCCCCUUCCCUUUUAUGAAUGUGACCUACCGAGUUAGACUAGUUACCGGAUUUGUUAUAACAUAAGCAACACGACGGGUGCCACAUGUGGAGCAGGAUCUGCUUACCCUCCGGAGCACCUGAGAUCAUCCCUAGUUUUUUUGUAGGGUUCGUGUUGUUUAUUCUUUAGUUUUGUAUGGUUUGUCAUGUGUUCUAUUGUUUGUCUGUUUGUCAUUCUUAAUAUUUAGCCAGGCGUUGUCAGUUUAUUUUCGAUUUAUGAGUUUGAAUGUCUCUCUGGUAUCUUUCGUCCCUCUUUUACGUAAAUGAGAUUAAAACUUAGAGGUUUAAAUUAAAGUGACAAAGCCCUAUAAUUGAUUAUUCGUUGCCAUGUUGUUUCUUAUGGAUAGUUGUACCAUUGACAUUCAUAUAACAUCAGCUUAUCAUUAUGUCAUAUUAUUUCAUAAUAAAAUAUAAAAAUAAUAUAGGUAGUAUGAAAAUACAAGCUCAGGUUUAUAUGUCAAAACUUGGUAUUCCCUUUUGUCGGGAACCCUCAGUGUGCAACAAUCCCUGUAGGGCUCGAUUUAAAUUUCAAACUUUAACUUUAAAAACCACACAUGCAUGAGCGUAGUUAUGUGAUUGAUUUAAACGAAUGAAAAACAACUGUCAUAUUCCUGACUUAGUACAGGCAUUUUCAAAUGUAGAAAAUGGUAGAUUGAACCUGGUUUUAUAGCGCUUUACCUCUCACAUGUAUGACAGUCGCUACAAAUUUCACUAUAUUUACAACGAGUGAAUAAAACAGACAUGAUAGGUAAAGUUGUCAACGUAGAGGUACAAAAGAUGUAUCUAUAACAUGUAUAAUUUAUGAAAUUUUAAAUUGUCUGAAAAUUAAAAGAAAAAAAAAAGGAAACAAUUUUCCAAUUUGUAUUAUCCCCGGCAAACAAGAAUCAGACCACUUAACAUGCGUCGCUUGUCUGUUUUUUUUUUUUUAUUUUAAAAAUGUAUGUUAAAAUUUUUAAAAAAGUAACUUAAAAUUAAAGAUUUGUCAAUUAAACAAGGUAACAUCUACCAAAUACAUGUUCAGAUGAGCACAUGUCUUUUGUGGAUUUCUUAAUUAUUCAAGGACACACUAACCAAAUACAUGUUCAGAUCAGAAUAUUCACACUUUGUGAUUUCAUAAAUUAUUAAAAGGAAAUCUAACUAAAUACAUGUUCAGAUCAGCACAUCCAAUUUGUGGAUUUCUCAAUUAUUAAAUGGAAAUCUAACUAAAUACAUGUUCAGAUCAACACAUCCACUUUGAUGAAUUCCCUAUUAAUAAAAGGAACACUAAUUAAGUACAUGUUCAAAUCAGCACAUCCACUGUGUGGAUUUCUAAAUUAUUCAGGGAAACACUUUGGUGUCUCUUUUAUUGAGAUGUGUUAAUUAUAUUUUCGAUUAAACGCUAUUCGCCAACAUUUUAUUCGUUUAGGUGGACACAACCUAUCACAAUUAUAUGUAUAAACUAGAUUAAAAGUGUGUAUUACCUAAUCAGUAAAGUUAGGGUUGUGAUAUUAAAUGGUUACAGGAAACGGAAUAUCCAAAAAAACAAGAGAUAGAAUAGAAACAGAUAUUGACUCAAUGGAAAAGUAAGGGUUGUGACAUAUAAUGGUUAUAACGGAAUAUCACUAUAUAACAAUUGUUAUGUCACGAAGCUUAGACAUAACGAUUGAACCAUUCUAAAAAAAAAAUCCAUCUCUAUUCAAGGCAAAGACUCUAUUCCUAAAAAACAUCUAUCUUUGGCCUUUCAACUGUUGUGAUUGGACCGCAAUUUUGUGAUUGGACCGCCACCUUUUGAUUGGAUCGCCACUGAUUAGUCUUCUGUAGACGAAAUGUGUCUGUCUGUUUGUUCGUUCUUUCAUGAAGCUCACCGAAUAGGAACAAUAGGACAAGUGAGCUGUGCAUAUUUUAUGGUUAUAGGAAACAGAAUAUCCCCAAAACAAGAGAUAAACUAGAAACCGAUAUUGACUCAAUAUUAAAGUUAGGAUUGUGACAUUAAAUGGUUAUAGGAAACGGAAUAUCACAAAACAAGAGAUAGAAUAGAAACAGAUAUUUAUAUGUUACGAACAUGUAUCAUUACUCGUAACGAUCUAGCGCCCUCGUUGGAAAGUUCUUUGGCUAAUAUCUAGACGUUUUAUACAUUAUGAAUUGUUUAAUGGUUUAAUGUGAGUGUAAAAUCAUGAUCAACUCUGAAAUUUUUAAAAAUAUACAGAGAGGGAAAGAACGUGUUUCGUUUAUCAUGCACUCCAGCAGCACCUGCAUACGGGGUAUAUAUCUCCCAAUUGAUACGAUAUUCCCGUGCUUGCAUUUCCUAUCAUGAUUUUCUUGAUAGAGGUUGCUGCUCACAAGGAAGAUAUUAAACCAAGAGUUCCAAAUGGUGAAGUUGAAAUCAUCCCUUCGUAAAUUUUACGGACGCCAUCACGAGUUGGUUGAAUGUUAUGGAAUAACCGUUUCACAAAUGAUAUCGGAUAUGUUCCUUACGUCGUAACUACAAACCCCUUCCCUUUCAUGAAUGUGACCUACCGAAUUAGACUAUUUACCGGAUUUGUUAUCACAUAAGCAACACGACGGGUGCCACAUGUGGAGCAGGAUCUGCUUACCCUUCCGGAGCACCUGAUAUCACCCCUAGUUUUUUUUGGUGGGUUCGUGUUGUUUAUUCUUUAGUUUUCUAUGUUGUGUCGUGUAUGCUGUUGUUUGUUUGUCUUUUUCAUUUUUAGCCAUGGCGUUGUCAGUUUGUUUUAGAUUUAUGAGUUUGACUGUCCCUUUGGUAUCUUUCGUCCCUCUUUUACAAGUCAUUAUAUUUUUAAAAGUGUUAAAUUUAUAAGUUAAGCUACAAUGUAUACCAUAGGUGUUUUUGUUGCUGUUGUUAUAUUACUUUAUAUACGUCUAUUGUUUACAUGUGUGUAAUAGUAUAUUAAUUACGUUUAUCCAUAUUGUUAACAUUGUAUGUAGAGAGCCUUAUUAAAAAU